Molecule: unclassified non-coding RNA, 419 nt
Filed under: Hevea brasiliensis (rubber tree)
Lineage: Eukaryota; Viridiplantae; Streptophyta; Magnoliopsida; Malpighiales; Euphorbiaceae
Source: RNAcentral
GUUUAAUUGAGUUGAGUUAAGUAUUUUAAAAAAUUUCUUUUGUUUGUGAGUGUAGUGAUAUUGCCAUUGUUAUCUUGAUUUAACGAAUGAAAGUUAUCAAUUUCUGAAAUUCUAUGUCUAGUUUGGAUAUUUUGUUUCAACUUAUACAAAAGAAAUUAAAUAUGUUUAGAUUUUUUUUUCAACUUAUAUAAAAGAAAUUUAAUGUGUGUGAUGAUCAAAAUUUGAAAGUUUAAAAUGCUUUCUUCUCUAUUUGCGUUGGCCCUGUGAUUUUGCAAAGUGCUGUUUUGCCGUCUUAUUUUAUGUUCAUAGGGUUUUAUGUAUUUAACAAAAGCUGGCAUAUAAAUGCUCAUGCAUCAAGAUGACAUCUUGAAAGGCCAAUUUUUCCACAGUUUUCAUACAAGAAAAUGUGACUAUUACGA